GACGAACGCUGGUGGCGUGCUUAACACAUGCAAGUCGAACGGGAUUUAGUAAACAGCAGCCUCGGUGGAAGAUUACUAAUGAGAGUGGCGAACGGGUGAGUAACGCGUGAGCAACCUGCCUAUGACAGUGGGAUAGCCUCGGGAAACCGGGAUUAAUACCGCAUAAAAUCGUAGAAACACAUGUUUUAACGGUCAAAGAUUUAUCGGUCAUAGAUGGGCUCGCGUCUGAUUAGCUAGUUGGUGAGAUAACAGCCCACCAAGGCGACGAUCAGUAGCCGGUCUGAGAGGAUGAACGGCCACAUUGGAACUGAGACACGGUCCAAACUCCUACGGGAGGCAGCAGUGGGGAAUAUUGCACAAUGGGGGAAACCCUGAUGCAGCGACGCCGCGUGAACGAAGAAGGUAUUCGUAUCGUAAAGUUCUGUCCUAUGGGAAGAUAAUGACAGUACCAUAGAAGAAAGCUCCGGCUAAAUACGUG
RNAcentral lists this ribosomal RNA (478 nucleotides) under uncultured bacterium. RNAcentral describes it as "partial 16S ribosomal RNA". It matches the Rfam family "Bacterial small subunit ribosomal RNA", at positions 28 to 507 of the family's 1533-position model. The record is from RNAcentral.